UACGGAGGGGGCUAGCGUUGUUCGGAAUUACUGGGCGUAAAGCGCACGUAGGCGGCUUUGUAAGUUAGAGGUGAAAGCCCGGGGCUCAACUCCGGAACUGCCUUUAAGACUGCAUCGCUUGAACAUCGGAGAGGUAAGUGGAAUUCCGAGUGUAGAGGUGAAAUUCGUAGAUAUCGGGAGGAACACCAGUGGCGAAGGCGGUUGCCUGGAGCUUUGCUGACGCUGAUGCGCGAAAGCGUGGGGAGCGAUCCGG
RNAcentral lists this ribosomal RNA (253 nucleotides) under uncultured bacterium. RNAcentral describes it as "partial 16S ribosomal RNA". It matches the Rfam family "Bacterial small subunit ribosomal RNA", at positions 524 to 776 of the family's 1533-position model. The record is from RNAcentral.